UACGGAGGAUGCGAGCGUUAUCCGGAUUUAUUGGGUUUAAAGGGUGCGUAGGCAGAUUAAUAAGUCAGUGGUGAAAUCCUGCAGCUUAACUGUGGAACUGCCAUUGAUACUGUUAGUCUUGAGUAUGGUCAAGGUAGGCGGAAUGUGUAAUGUAGCGGUGAAAUGCUUAGAUAUUACACAGAACACCGAUUGCGAAGGCAGCUUACUGGGCCAUUACUGACGCUGAUGCACGAAAGCGUGGGGAUCGAACA
RNAcentral lists this ribosomal RNA (251 nucleotides) under uncultured prokaryote. Its description in RNAcentral is "partial 16S ribosomal RNA". It matches the Rfam family "Bacterial small subunit ribosomal RNA", at positions 524 to 774 of the family's 1533-position model. The record is from RNAcentral.